This 614-nucleotide ribosomal RNA is filed under the name uncultured bacterium. RNAcentral's name for it is "bacterial SSU rRNA". It matches the Rfam family "Bacterial small subunit ribosomal RNA", at positions 8 to 613 of the family's 1533-position model. The record is from RNAcentral.
AGAGUUUGAUCAUGGCUCAGAUUGAACGCUGGCGGCAGGCCUAACACAUGCAAGUCGAGCGGUAGCACAGAGAGCUUGCUCUCGGGUGACGAGCGGCGGACGGGUGAGUAAUGUCUGGGAAACUGCCUGAUGGAGGGGGAUAACUACUGGAAACGGUAGCUAAUACCGCAUAAUGUCGCAAGACCAAAGUGGGGGACCUUCGGGCCUCAUGCCAUCAGAUGUGCCCAGAUGGGAUUAGCUAGUAGGUGGGGUAACGGCUCACCUAGGCGACGAUCCCUAGCUGGUCUGAGAGGAUGACCAGCCACACUGGAACUGAGACACGGUCCAGACUCCUACGGGAGGCAGCAGUGGGGAAUAUUGCACAAUGGGCGCAAGCCUGAUGCAGCCAUGCCGCGUGUGUGAAGAAGGCCUUCGGGUUGUAAAGCACUUUCAGCGGGGAGGAAGGCGAUAAGGUUAAUAACCUUGUCGAUUGACGUUACCCGCAGAAGAAGCACCGGCUAACUCCGUGCCAGCAGCCGCGGUAAUACGGAGGGUGCAAGCGUUAAUCGGAAUUACUGGGCGUAAAGCGCACGCAGGCGGUCUGUCAAGUCGGAUGUGAAAUCCCCGGGCUCAAC